GCCGGGGUGGCGGAAUUGGUAGACGCACGGGACUUAAAAUCCUGUGGACGUAAGUCCGUGCGGGUUCGAUUCCCGCUCUCGGCACCA
RNAcentral lists this transfer RNA (87 nucleotides) under Synergistaceae bacterium. Its description in RNAcentral is "tRNA-Leu". It matches the Rfam family "tRNA". Rfam says of the family: Transfer RNA (tRNA) molecules are approximately 80 nucleotides in length. Their secondary structure includes four short double-helical elements and three loops (D, anti-codon, and T loops). Lineage: Bacteria; Thermotogati; Synergistota; Synergistia; Synergistales; Synergistaceae. The record is from RNAcentral.